AACCUCCGCAAUGUGAGAAAUCGCGACGGGGGGAUCCCAAGUGCCAUUCUUAACGGGAUGGCUUUUCAUUAGUGUAAAGAGCUUUUGGAAUAAGAGCUGGGCAAGACCGGUGCCAGCCGCCGCGGUAACACCGGCAGCUCUAGUGGUAACAAUUUUUAUUGGGCCUAAAGCGUCCGUAGCCGGUUUAAUAAGUCUCUGGUGAAAUCCUGCAGCUUAACUGUGGGAAUUGCUGGAGAUACUAUUAGACUUGAGACCGGGAGAGGUUAGAGGUACUCCCAGGGUAGAGGUGAAAUUCUGUAAUCCUGGGAGGACCGCCUGUUGCGAAGGCGUCUAACUGGAACGGUUCUGACGGUGAGGGACGAAAGUUAGGGGCGCGAAACCGGAUUAGAUACCCGGGUAGUCCUAACUGUAAACGAUGCGGACUUGGUGUUGGGGUGGCUUUGAGCUGCUUCAGUGCCGAAGGGAAGCUGUUAAGUCCGCCGCCUGGGAAGUACGGUCGCAAGACUGAAACUUAAAGGAAUU
Molecule: ribosomal RNA, 522 nt
Filed under: uncultured bacterium
Lineage: Bacteria
Description: bacterial SSU rRNA
Rfam family: Archaeal small subunit ribosomal RNA
Source: RNAcentral